This 301-nucleotide ribosomal RNA is filed under the name uncultured bacterium. RNAcentral describes it as "partial 16S ribosomal RNA". It matches the Rfam family "Bacterial small subunit ribosomal RNA", at positions 510 to 808 of the family's 1533-position model. The record is from RNAcentral.
CGCAGCCGCGGGAAUACAGAGGGUGCGAGCGUUAAUCGGAUUUACUGGGCGUAAAGCGUGCGUAGGCGGCUUCUUAAGUCGGAUGUGAAAUCCCUGAGCUUAACUUAGGAAUUGCAUUCGAUACUGGGAAGCUAGAGUAUGGGAGAGGAUGGUAGAAUUCCAGGUGUAGCGGUGAAAUGCGUAGAGAUCUGGAGGAAUACCGAUGGCGAAGGCAGCCAUCUGGCCUAAUACUGACGCUGAGGUACGAAAGCAUGGGGAGCAAACAGGAUUAGAUACCCCAGUAGUCCCUGUCUCUUAUACC